UACGGAGGGGACUAGCGUUGUUCGGAAUUAUUGGGCGUAAAGCGCACGUAGGCGGAUUUGUAAGUCAGGGGUGAAAUCCCGGGGCUCAACCUCGGAACUGCCUUUGAUACUGCAAAUCUCGAGUCCGGAAGAGGUGAGUGGAAUUCCUAGUGUAGAGGUGAAAUUCGUAGAUAUUAGGAAGAACACCAGUGGCGAAGGCGGCUCACUGGUCCGGUACUGACGCUGAGGUGCGAAAGCGUGGGGAGCAAACAGG
Molecule: ribosomal RNA, 253 nt
Filed under: uncultured bacterium
Lineage: Bacteria
Description: partial 16S ribosomal RNA
Rfam family: Bacterial small subunit ribosomal RNA
Source: RNAcentral